This 498-nucleotide ribosomal RNA is filed under the name uncultured bacterium. RNAcentral's name for it is "partial 16S ribosomal RNA". It matches the Rfam family "Bacterial small subunit ribosomal RNA", at positions 28 to 507 of the family's 1533-position model. The record is from RNAcentral.
GACGAACGCUGGCGGCGUGCCUAAUACAUGCAAGUCGAACGAGAGCGACCGGUGCUUGCACUGGUCAAUCUAGUGGCGAACGGGUGAGUAACACGUGGGUAACUUGCCCAUCAGAGGGGGAUAACAUCCGGAAACGGAUGCUAAAACCGCAUAGGUCUUCGAGCCGCAUGGCUUGAAGAGGAAAAGAGGCGCAAGCUUCUGCUGAUGGAUGGACCCGCGGUGCAUUAGCUAGUUGGUGAGGUAACGGCUCACCAAGGCCGUGAUGCAUAGCCGACCUGAGAGGGUGAUCGGCCACAUUGGGACUGAGACACGGCCCAAACUCCUACGGGAGGCAGCAGUAGGGAAUCUUCCGCAAUGGACGCAAGUCUGACGGAGCAACGCCGCGUGAGUGAAGAAGGUUUUCGGAUCGUAAAACUCUGUUGUUAGAGAAGAACAAGUGCUAGAGUAACUGUUAGCGCCUUGACGGUAUCUAACCAGAAAGCCACGGCUAACUACGUG